CGAAUGCUGACAUAAGUAACGAUAAAGCGGGUGAAAAGCCCGCUCGCCGGAAGACCAAGGGUUCCUGUCCAACGUUAAUCGGGGCAGGGUGAGUCGACCCCUAAGGCGAGGCCGAAAGGCGUAGUCGAUGGGAAACAGGUUAAUAUUCCUGUACUUGGUGUUACUGCGAAGGGGGGACGGAGAAGGCUAUGUUGGCCGGGCGACGGUUGUCCCGGUUUAAGCGUGUAGGCUGGUUUUCCAGGCAAAUCCGGAAAAUCAAGGCUGAGGCGUGAUGACGAGGCACUACGGUGCUGAAGCAACAAAUGCCCUGCUUCCAGGAAAAGCCUCUAAG
This 331-nucleotide ribosomal RNA is filed under the name Escherichia coli O157. RNAcentral's name for it is "partial 23S ribosomal RNA". It matches the Rfam family "Bacterial large subunit ribosomal RNA", at positions 1291 to 1625 of the family's 2925-position model. Lineage: Bacteria; Pseudomonadati; Pseudomonadota; Gammaproteobacteria; Enterobacterales; Enterobacteriaceae. The record is from RNAcentral.